Sander lucioperca (pikeperch) is the source of this 170-nucleotide long non-coding RNA. RefSeq lists it as uncharacterized. The record is from RefSeq and is a predicted model, not a curated record. Lineage: Eukaryota; Metazoa; Chordata; Actinopteri; Perciformes; Percidae. The transcript has 3 exons.
ACAAAACAAUGAUAAAAAGGUUAAUAUCCUCACUGGUUUACAAACAUAUUCACUACUGACAGUGUUCAUUUUGUAGCUCCCUAUCUCAAAUGUAAGUCCACCCUAACAUUAUUUCAGCAGUACAUGCUGGGUUUAAUUAAGAUGAGAAUUAAUUUGUACAUAACAGAUGA